AGACCCGAAACCCGGUGAUCUAGCCAUGGGCAGGUUGAAGGUUGGGUAACACUAACUGGAGGACCGAACCGACUAAUGUUGAAAAAUUAGCGGAUGACCUGUGGCUGGGGGUGAAAGGCCAAUCAAACCGGGAGAUAGCUGGUUCUCCCCGAAAGCUAUUUAGGUAGCGCCUCGUGAAUUCAUCUCCGGGGGUAGAGCACUGUUUCGGCUAGGGGGCCAUCCCGGCUUACCAACCCGAUGCAAACUGCGAAUACCGGAGAAUGUUAUCACGGGAGACACACGGCGGGUGCUAACGUCCGUCGUGAAGAGGGAAACAACCCAGACCGCCAGCUAAGGUCCCAAAGUCAUGGUUAAGUGGGAAACGAUGUGGGAAGGCCCAGACAGCCAGGAUGUUGGCUUAGAAGCAGCCAUCAUUUAAAGAAAGCGUAAUAGCUCACUGGUCGAGUCGGCCUGCGCGGAAGAUGUAACGGGGCUAAACCAUGCACCGAAGCUGCGGCAGCGAACGUAUCACCCAAGACAACUUUGCGGAGUUGACGAUUGACGGAGCGAAGCGACGUCAAAGCGUUCAUUAAAGUCGAGUUGGCUUAGGGAUACGUUCGUUGGGUAGGGGAGCGUUCUGUAAGCCUGUGAAGGUGGCCUGUGAGGGUUGCUGGAGGUAUCAGAAGUGCGAAUGCUGACAUAAGUAACGAUAAAGCGGGUGAAAAGCCCGCUCGCCGGAAGACCAAGGGUUCCUGUCCAACGUUAAUCGGGGCAGGGUGAGUCGACCCCUAAGGCGAGGCCGAAAGGCGUAGUCGAUGGGAAACGGGUUAAUAUUCCCGUACUUGGUGUUACUGCGAAGGGGGGACGGAGAAGGCUAUGUUGGCCGGGCGACGGUUGUCCCGGUUUAAGCGUGUAGGUGUGUGUUCCAGGUAAAUCCGGUUCACUUUAACACUGAGGCGUGACGACGAGGCACUACGGUGCUGAAGCAACAAAUGCCCUGCUUCCAGGAAAAGCCUCUAAGCAUCAGGUAACAUCAAAUCGUACCCCAAACCGACACAGGUGGUCAGGUAGAGAAUACCAAGGCGCUUGAGAGAACUCGGGUGAAGGAACUAGGCAAAAUGGUGCCGUAACUUCGGGAGAAGGCACGCUGAUAUGUAGGUGAAGCGGUUUACCCGUGGAGCUGAAAUCAGUCGAAGAUACCAGCUGGCUGCAACUGUUUAUUAAAAACACAGCACUGUGCAAACACGAAAGUGGACGUAUACGGUGUGACGCCUGCCCGGUGCCGGAAGGUUAAUUGAUGGGGUCAGCGCAAGCGAAGCUCCUGAUCGAAGCCCCGGUAAACGGCGGCCGUAACUAUAACGGUCCUAAGGUAGCGAAAUUCCUUGUCGGGUAAGUUCCGACCUGCACGAAUGGCGUAAUGAUGGCCAGGCUGUCUCCACCCGAGACUCAGUGAAAUUGAACUCGCUGUGAAGAUGCAGUGUACCCGCGGCAAGACGGAAAGACCCCGUGAACCUUUACUAUAGCUUGACACUGAACAUUGAGCCUUGAUGUGUAGGAUAGGUGGGAGGCUUUGAAGCGUGGACGCCAGUCUGCGUGGAGCCGACCUUGAAAUACCACCCUUUAAUGUUUGAUGUUCUAACGUGGACCCGUAAUCCGGGUUGCGGACAGUGUCUGGUGGGUAGUUUGACUGGGGCGGUCUCCUCCUAAAGAGUAACGGAGGAGCACGAAGGUUGGCUAAUCCUGGUCGGACAUCAGGAGGUUAGUGCAAUGGCAUAAGCCAGCUUGACUGCGAGCGUGACGGCGCGAGCAGGUGCGAAAGCAGGUCAUAGUGAUCCGGUGGUUCUGAAUGGAAGGGCCAUCGCUCAACGGAUAAAAGGUACUCCGGGGAUAACAGGCUGAUACCGCCCAAGAGUUCAUAUCGACGGCGGUGUUUGGCACCUCGAUGUCGGCUCAUCACAUCCUGGGGCUGAAGUAGGUCCCAAGGGUAUGGCUGUUCGCCAUUUAAAGUGGUACGCGAGCUGGGUUUAGAACGUCGUGAGACAGUUCGGUCCCUAUCUGCCGUGGGCGCUGGAGAACUGAGGGGGGCUGCUCCUAGUACGAGAGGACCGGAGUGGACGCAUCACUGGUGUUCGGGUUGUCAUGCCAAUGGCACUGCCCGGUAGCUAAAUGCGGAAGAGAUAAGUGCUGAAAGCAUCUAAGCACGAAACUUGCCCCGA
Molecule: ribosomal RNA, 2195 nt
Filed under: Salmonella enterica subsp. enterica serovar Muenchen
Lineage: Bacteria; Pseudomonadati; Pseudomonadota; Gammaproteobacteria; Enterobacterales; Enterobacteriaceae
Also listed under: 1 other name
Description: partial 23S ribosomal RNA
Rfam family: Bacterial large subunit ribosomal RNA
Source: RNAcentral